RNAcentral lists this ribosomal RNA (232 nucleotides) under uncultured bacterium. RNAcentral's name for it is "partial 16S ribosomal RNA". It matches the Rfam family "Bacterial small subunit ribosomal RNA", at positions 97 to 334 of the family's 1533-position model. The record is from RNAcentral.
GGCGGACGGGUGAGUAACGCGUAGGAAUCUACCUUGCAGUGGGGGACAACCCGAGGAAACUCGGGCUAAUACCGCAUACGAUUUGAGGAUGAAAGCGGGUCUUUCGGGGCACGCGCUGUGGGAUGAGCCUGCGUCCGAUUAGCUUGUUGGUGGGGUAAAGGCCUACCAAGGCGACGAUCGGUAGCUGUUCUGAGAGGAUGAUCAGCCACACUGGGACUGAGACACGGCCCAG